This 468-nucleotide ribosomal RNA is filed under the name uncultured bacterium. Its description in RNAcentral is "partial 16S ribosomal RNA". It matches the Rfam family "Bacterial small subunit ribosomal RNA", at positions 28 to 507 of the family's 1533-position model. The record is from RNAcentral.
GACGAACGCUGGCGGCGUGCUUAACACAUGCAAGUCGAACGGAAAGGCCCUGCUUUUGUGGGGUUCCCGAGUGGCGAACGGGUGCGUAACACGUGAGUAACCUGCCCUUGACUUUGGGAUAACUUCAGGAAACUGGGGCUACUACCGGAUAGGAUCUCCUGCUCCAUUGUGGGGAUUGGAUAUUCUCGGCGGUUGGGGAUGGACUGGCGGCUAAUCGGCUUGUUGGUGGGGGAGUGGCUUACCAAGGCUUGGACGGGUAGCCGGCCUGAGAGCGUGGACGGCGACAUUGGUACUGAGAUACGGCGCAGACUCCUACGUGAGGCAGAGGGGGGGAAUAUUGCACAAUGGGCGGGCGCCUGAUGCGACAACGCCGCGGGCGGGAUGACGUCCUGCUGGUAGAAAACAGCUGUCGCCUGAGACGAAGCGGGAGUGACGGUAACGGGUAAAGAAGCACCGGCUAACUACGUG